UUAAAUGUAUACCAUAUGGCCAAAUAAA
RNAcentral lists this non-coding RNA (28 nucleotides) under Mus musculus (house mouse). The record is from RNAcentral. Lineage: Eukaryota; Metazoa; Chordata; Mammalia; Rodentia; Muridae.